CGCCCAGGAGGGAGCCUGUCACCCAGGGUUUCCAGGGGAGACUGUGGCCCACGUCCCUGGGGAAAAAAUGCGCCGAGGCAGCAGGGAGCGAUCCCCGCAGGCGCCCAGGCUGAGGCCGGCCGCCUUCUGGGGCGCUGAGACCUGCCUGCUGCAGGCAGUUCGCAAACAGUACGCCCGGAUUCUUUUCAGUGUAAAAAGGCCCUAUUAAAAAUAACUCCUUAAGCCUAUCAUCUCUUUUAAAUAAAGGAGAAGAAAGAGAAAAGUGUGUUCUGUUUUGUAAGACCUGAUUUUAGGUAACUAGUCGUGGCACUGAGAGUUUGACCUAAGGCUCAGCAGUGUGACAGCAACUACAGCAUCCAUCCCCGCAUCCCAGCACUGUGUGCCGCGAGGGAGGAGGACCUGGGGAAUGAAAAGGGACUCUGGAGAGGGCUGGCUUCACGAGUAUGCGACCUGUGCAGUCACAGAGCGCCCGAACUUAGAAGGACUAACUCGCUGCUGUUGCUCUCUUGAAUUUGAAUAAGGGUCACUGCAUUUUCAUUUUGCACUUAGCCUGGCAUAGUAGUAGCCUAUCGCGGUCUUAUUUUGUACCCUCUCUCACACACAUCUCUUUGCGUUUAAUAAACAUGAUAAGGCAAUUUAUUAUUAAAAGUAAGAAAGUGUCUUGUGCCUAGAAUGAACCUAUUAACUCACAAUUUAGCUUUGUAAAGUUUUUGUAAAUAGUGAGCAUGAGACCUCAAUAUCCUGGAUUCAGGUGUUUCCCAACUAUUUUGAAAGUAUUAAAUGUGUCUGUAAGCGGGGCGUGGUAGUGAGCGCCUGUAGUCCCAGCUACUCGAGAGGCUGAGGCAGGAGAAUUGAUUGAACCUGGGAGGUGGAGGUUGCAGUGAGCCGAGAUUGCGCCAUGGCACUCGAGCCUGCAUGACAGAGCUAGACUCCCUCUCAAAAAAUAAUAAACAAUCCAGCACUUUGGGAGGCCGAGGCAGGUGGAUCAUUUGAGGUGGGGAGUUCGAGACCAGCCUGAGCAACCUGGAGAAACCCAGUCCCUAUUAAAAAUACAAAAGAUUUACCGGGCGUGGUGGUGCAUGCCUGUAAUCCCAGCUACUGGGGAGGCUGAGGCAGGAGAAUCCUUUGAACCUGGGUGGCAGAGGUUGCAGUGAGCAGAGAUUGUGCCAUUGCGCUACAGCCUGGACAAAAAGAUCGAAACUCUGUCUCAAACUAUAUAAUAAAUAAAUAAAUAUUUUCAUAUUUUACAUCCUUUUAAAAUACCUUUUUGAAAUUCCACACAACUUGAACAGGCCUUGAGAAAUAGGAAGCUAAUUUUCCUUGUAGCUCUGAUGUAACCUCAUAUUACAUUCCCUAUAAUUAAAAUUAAACUAAGCCACCAUGGCAUGUGUAUACCUAUGUAACUAUCCUGCAAGAUCAGCACAUGUACCCCAGAACUUAAAGUAUAAUUAAAAAUAUAUAUAUAAAAAAAUACCAAGCUGCAUAAUAUUUAUGUCAUGAGACAUUAUAUUGCAGUAAUAAAGAUCUUAAUUUCUUUUAAAAAAAGUAACUUUGGUAAGUAUUUAUUGUGUUAAAUGUGUCAAAUAGCAAUGCUGUAUUUAAAAGAUUUCCCAGCAUAACAGGAGGUUAAUGUGGAUAGGACUGUCUUCAGGAGCAAGUUCCCGAAAGGUGUGUUUAAAUAUAUUUGAAUCUUACUUAAAUAUACAAAAGAGGAUCUUGUUAUUUAAAGAAAUUCUCUGGGAAAGAGUUCUUUUCUAAAGCAAAUAUCACCUCACGGUUUAUCGUUCUGUUAUUCUAGGUUUCAUGGGCUGACUCAUUUUACUUAGAGCAAUCUAAUUACACUGACCUUUGUCGAGAAUUGGGAUUGAUGAGGUCCUAGAUCGAUCCCCAUCAAGUCCAGUUUCCUUUCACUGGUCUCUGGACAAGGACUGCCACAGCCCCGGCUGCCUGAUGCAAACGCACACCUUUGGUCUUCAGGGGCAAUGGUUUUACCAUCUUCAUAAAAAUACUUGGAGGACAGCUGCAUCCACAGACGUCAAAUACGUGAUGACUUCUUUGACCAUUCUUCUCAGUCUUUUCUUUCCCAAAUAAGCACUUCCAGAUACGGUUCAAGAUGGGACCGUCUGGUUGCAGGAAAACAAGCUCAGGCUCCCACUGAGUCUACAUUAUGACAUGGCAAUGGCAGCUUAGAGAGGUUCAGCUACUUGGGUCACCCCUUGUCAGGUGGGGGAGCUGAACCUUGGAUGCAGGGGUAUUUGUCUCUACUGUCUGAACUCUUCCUAACUGUUCGGAAUGACAGAAUGAGGAAAUGCACCCAAGGUGAAUUUUAUGUUGACUAUUACCUGCAAAAUGUCGGUGUCUGAUCCCAGCUUCAGCUGACCGUCCUGAUAUCCAGAGCAAUGGUUCCCAAAUUUUGGUCUAUGGUCCAGUGCCGGCUUAGGACCAAGGACUUACCAGUCUUUGAUGUGAGGAAAAUAAGAACAUAAAAUUGGUUGGGCACGGUGGCUCACACCUGUAAUCCCAGCAUUGGGAGGCCAAGGCAGGCAGAUCAUGAGGUCAGGAGUUCGAGACCAGCCUGACCAAUAUGGUGAUGGUCUCUACCAGAAAUACAAAAAUUAGCUGGGCAUGGUGGUGUGUACCUGUAAUCCCAGCUACUCAGGAGGCCGAGGCAGGAGAAUCACUUGAACCUGGCAGGUGGAGGUUACAGUAAGCUGAGAUCGUGCCACUGCACUCCAGCCUGGGCAACAGAGUGAAACUCUGUCUCAAAAAUAAGUAAAUAAAUAAAUGAAAUAAUGGUGAUAAGAACUUGUAGUUGUUUUUUUUUUUAGGUGCUCUUACUUGGCAAAAUGAACUGAUCAUUCUGAAUUGAAAUUCCACUUUAUGUAGAUUGCUGUGGAAUCCCAACUCCUGAGAAUGAUCGCUGUGAAAGGAGGAAGCAAGAAAGUCCUGGGCCUCUGAAGCAAAUAGGGAGGCGCCUUUAAUGGAUGAUGUUAGUGGAGACUGCAAUAAAAAUUCCUACUCAUAAAUAUCACCCUUUCCAUUGUGCCCAGCUUACUUUGAGUAGUCCUGUAUAAUAGGACCUAAAAUUCAUGAAAGGGCCAUCCCUUUUAUUUUAGCAAAAUGAUUGAGGGCUUUGUCUUUGAAAAAAACUCUGUUUGAAUGGGCACCCUGCUAGGGUGACUUGGAUGGGAAGAGAGAGGAUGUGGGUGUCGUGUGCCUUUCUCCCACUAGCUCAUUAUCUCAGUCCCUGUGGGCUGCUCUAACAAGAUACAUAGACUGAGUGCUUUGACACAAGAGAAAUUUAUUUCCCAUCAUUCUGGAGGCUAGGAAGUUCAAGAUCAAAGUGCCCAUAGAUUUGGUGUUUGGUGAGGGUUUGUUCUCUUCCUCAAAGAUGGUGCCUUCUUGUGGCGUCCACAUGGCAGGAGAGGUGAACUACUUCCCUCGGGCCUUUUUUUUAAAGAUAGAAUUUCACUUUUGUGGCCCAGGCUGGAGUGCAAUGGCUUGAUCUCAGCUUGCUGCCACCUCUGCCUCCCGGGUUCAAGUGGUUCUCCUGCAUCAGCCUCCCAAGCAGCUGGGAUUACAGGCAUGCACCACCUCACCCGGCUAAUUUUGUAUUUUUUGUAGAGAUGGGGUUUUACCUGUUGGUCAGGCUGGUCUUGAACUCCUGACCUCAGGUGAUCUGCCUGCCUUGGCCUCCCAACGUGCUGGAAUUACAGGUGUGAGUCACCAUGCCCGGCCAAGACUUUUUUUCAUAAGGGCCCCAAUCUCAUUCCUGAGAUGGAGCCCUCAUGACAGCAUCAUCUCCCAAAGACCUCACCUUCUAAUGCCAUUGACUUGGGGAUUAGGUUUCAACAUAUGAAUUCUGGGGGGACAUAAACAUUCAGGCCAUAGAACACAGGUGACUUAAUUUUCUGGGAAAUGUUAGGAGACUCUGGGGCAGCCAGAAUUUCUGGGUAGGGGGAUGGAUAGGAAGUGAGGAGGGGGUUGGGUGUAGGAAGACAGAGCACUGCCUAGCUGAGAGAACAGGGGUAGGGAGAGAGAGUCUUACAAGAAGGGGAUGCCCAGAGUGAUAUUCAACAAGGAUGGGGAGGCCAGAUUUUACCUGUUGAUCUACCUUGAAGCAAAAACCCAAACCAAAAUAAACACAAAAACCAAAAAGCAAAACUCCCACGAUGUCGUCAGAAAUGGGCCAUUUCCACGUGGAGUGGCAGAUGAGCUGAUGGAAUUCUUAUAGUUUCUCUAUUUCAGGAAGAAGAGAGUAUGAGGGAUGUCUUUUUCACUGUGUUCAUAUCAUUGUCUGAUGAUUAGAAUGACUGACAUGAUAAAUACAGGCUGGAGUACAAUGGCACCAUCUUGGCUCACUGUAACCUCUGCCUUCCAGGUUCAAGCGAUUCUCCUACCUCAGCCUCCCAAAUAGCUGGGAUUACAGGCACUGCAAAAUGGCCUCAUUUUCGAUGGCAGACAUUACUGGAAGGUUCAUCCUGUCUGUGUGUUCCCUAUCACCCCUACCUGCUGGUAGCCAUGAGUGGGUCCCCAGGGAUGAGGAUGGGGUUGUCUCUUCUCAGUGAUGGCCUCGUGGGUAAUGUCAUUAACUCUGUUAAUGACUCUUGCACUGGCAAGAGUCCAGUGGAGCAGAGAGAGACCAGGACGACCUGGACGAUCAGGGGCAGCCAGGUCUUGAUUUGGAAAAGAUGCCUGUAGAAAGGACACUCACUGAAAAGGUGACCUGUGUGCUACAUAAUGAAACAUAGAUUUUACCCACCAUGAACACCGGGAGAAGCACUGAAGCCUUUCUAACCAGGAGUUAUGAGAAGAGACAGGCAUUAGAAUCAUUCUGAUACCUGCUGAAACAGGUUGGUGAGUGGGGGUCAUGAGAAUUUGGGAGAGAGUUAAGCUUGGUAUGCUUUUGGGGUACCUAUCCUACCUAUCGUAUAUAUUUAACAAGAACAUGGCUUCUCGAGGGCAAGGUAUAUGGGUUUGUUUAUGGUUGAUAAAGGAAAAACUUAAGCCAAAUUAAAUUUGAAGGAGUUGGUCUGGGCGCAGUGGCUCAUGCCUGUAAUCUCAGCACUUCGGGAGGCCGAGACAGGAGGAUUGCUGAGCUCAGGGAUUCAAGUCCAGCCUGGGGUGAAACCCCAUCUCUACAAAAAAUACAAAAAUUAGUUGGGCGCGGUGGCAUGCACCUGUAGUUCCAGCUACUCAGGAGGCUGAGGUAGGAGAAUCACUGGAGCCUGGGAGGCGUAGGUUGCAGUGAGCCGAGAUCACACCACUGCACUCCAGCCUGGGCAACAGAGCAAGACUUUGUCUCAAAAUAAAUAAAUACAUUUAAAGGAAUUUCAUUGAGCAAUGAAUGAUUUGUGAAUUGGGCAGCCUCCCAAGCCAGAGUAGGCUCAGAGACUCCAGCGCAGUUACAUGGUGGAAGAUUCAUCAACAGAAAAAGGAAAGUGAUGUAUGGGAAAUGGAAGUGAGGUAUAAAACAGCUGGAUUGGUUACAGGUUGGCAUGUGCCUUAUUUGCACAUGGUUCAAACGGUUGGCUACGUUUGAUUGGCCAAAACUCAGUGACUGGCACAAGUGUAGGUUAUGGUGUGUUUACACGUCCACUAGCUAUAGUUCACGAUGUCCUGAACUCAAAAUAUUUAAGGUCAAGCUUAAAAUAUGUAAGGAGGCAGCUUUAGGCUAAACUUGAUUUAACACAGUGCAGUCUGUUUUGCUAUCAUGUGAAAUGUUAGGGCAAAAUUUUGCUCGAGUGCAAUUUGUAAAUAAGGGAAUAAUGUCAGUACUGAACCCAGUUUUGUGCCCUUCCAAAUGUUCUCGGCACCUGCAUCCCCCUCUUCCUGGCCAGGGAGGCUUCUAGACAGCUCAUGCAGCAACCUGGUCUCCCAGCACAGCUGGCUGUCUCAUCCUCUCAUCUUCCCCUGGGCACAGGGUCAUGGUCAGGUUCUAGGGGCUGUGACAGCGACGGCAUUCUGUCCAACCCUCAGGGACUCCAGUUUCCUUGGCGGCUAUCUGGGGUGGGAUUCCACCUGGAGGUUAGCAGAAUUCUUGUACUGUGAGGUAAACCUUAGCAAUGAGAGACAGGAGACAAGAAGAAGCUGGUAGGUCAACUGCCAGCCUCCCUUCUGCCAUCUUUCCUGAGAUGCAGUAAUUCCCUGUGAACUUUCUGGAGAUGACCCACAUGACCCAGGGAACCAGGGCUGUUUUCAUAAAACUGUGGCUGUCUUGGUAACACAACUUUAAAUUCCUUUCCUCUUUCCUGAUUCAUUCCCCUUCCCCAUCACUCCUGCAAACACCCACCCCCAAUAACCUGUAAGUUUUGCCUCAGAGCUGUUUUCCAGAGAAGCAGGUGAAGACAAUACCAGUGUAAGAAUGUGGAAGUCAUUUGGGUUCAUAUAUGAUUUUUCUUACACAAGAGGAGCCGGAAUAGAUCAUGGGAGUGGAACACAAGAGGAGCCGGAAUAGAUCAUACAUUUAUCACGAAGGGGGUAAUAAAUUCAGUGGCUGCCCAAGCAGCAAGGGCUUUUGGCUGAAUUUUGAGAAAAUUAAGAUGAAGGCCUGUUUCUGGAGCCCCUCCCUUGAGAGACACAGCUCUCGACUAGGUUAGAUGGGGCUGCCACCGGGCCCAGUUUUGCUGUAGCCCCACUGGCUAGGAGCCACCCCUCUGUUUAUGGUCCUCCACACUCCCAGCUCUGCUUUAACUGCUGUGCGGCUGAUAUGUUUACUGUGUUGUUUCUGUGCUUUUUUGUUUUUUUUUGAGGGGGACGGAAUCUUGCUUUGUUGCCCAGGCUGGAGUGCAGUGGCAUGAUCUUGGCUCACUGCGACCUCUACCUCCCAGAUUCAAGCAGUUCUCAGCCUCAGCCUCUCAAGUAGCUGGGAUUACAGGCACCUGCCACCAUGCCUCGCUAAUUUUUGUAUUUUUAGUAGAGACAGGGUUUCACCAUGUUGGCCAGUCUGCUCUCGAACUCCUGGACUCAAGGGAUCCGCCUGCUCCAACCUUCCAAAGUGCUGCGAUUAUAGGCAUGAGCCACAGUUUCUGUGCAUUUUUAAUGGCCCAGCGACAGCUUCCAGCCAGGCUGAGCUGCCUGCAUGUUGGGUUCCUGUUGUCUCCCCAGGAACCAAUUACUGUUUUUUGUGAGUAUUCUGGUUCCAAAGUUGCAUAGGUUUGGAGUGGUCUGCCCAAUCAUAUUUUUCUCUGAAAGGCUGUAAUUUAAGUGUGUGAUUUUUGAGAAUGUUGAGGUAUAGUCAGGUACGCCUAUGUUGCAACCUAGCAGAAAUGUUGGUUUCUCAAGCAGAUGAAAAAAAAAAAAAGACUUGUGGAAUGAAUACAAUGCUUUAGAAAUUAUUCCUAGUGAUAUGGAAAGUGGAUGAUUUAUUUUUUUGAAAACUUUUUGUUCAGAGAGGAUUUUAAGCCCUUACAUUGUAGCUAUUUAAAAAGACAAACAUUUCCCCAUUGCAGUGGUGUACCACGGGAUAAUGAGAUAAGAAUAUGAGGAAUAUCUUUCUGUAGCCCUUCUGAAUCCACUCUUCUCUCUUUUUCAGCGUGUUCUGUGCCUCGGAAGGCUGGACUGGAAGGCUGACUAAAUCAGGGGUGACUCUCUUUGCUGUAGGGCUUCUCGUUGGGUCCAGCCAAUGCCAGGCAAAGGAGGCAAUCCAAAGUGGGGAGAACAGCGAGGUGGGCCCACUCCUUUGUUAAAACUCCUGCUCUGUGUGUGCCACCUAUUUCCUUCUGGUGAGGCAGGAGAAUAGCAUCUGGAGGCAGGGAACCUAAGGACGAUUCACUCUGACUUCCUAGAACUAAAUCAAAAAGAAAACUCCAACUUUCCACACCUAAGUAACAAAAAAAAAAACACGAGGGUACUCACCACCCACCCACUAACCCCUUUUCUGCAUGGCAGAUGGAAAAUUGAAAGUAUCUCUGAUUGGCUGCUUUCUGCAACCAAUCAGACUGUUUGCUGGCCAAGUCUUCUUUGACUAGAAAUGUAACUUUGUAACUUCAAUUUAGCCUCUGAUUGGUUGUGGAAAGCAACAAGUCAGAGGCUUGCAUAGGUGUAAUCUUUGUAACUUCAGCCUCCUAUUGGUUGUGGAUAGCAACCAGUCAGAGGCUUGCAUAGGUGUAACAUUUGUAACUUCAGCCUCUGAUUGGUUGUGGAAAGCAACCAGUCAGAGGCUUGUGUAGGUGUAAUCUUUGUAAUUUCAGCCUCUGAUUGGUUGCUUUCUGCAACCAGUCAGACUAAUUGCAGAUCAUUCAUCUACAUAGGGUGUAUACCAGGUAACCAAUGGGAAACUUUUAGAGGGUACUUAAACCCCAGAAAAUUCUGUAAAGGGUCCCUUGAGCCCCUAUGCUUGGGUCGCCCCCCCACACUGAAGAGUGUACUUUCAUUUUCAAUAAAUCUCUGCAUUCGUUGCUUCA
Molecule: non-coding RNA, 8405 nt
Organism: Callithrix jacchus (white-tufted-ear marmoset)
Lineage: Eukaryota; Metazoa; Chordata; Mammalia; Primates; Cebidae
Source: RefSeq, a predicted model, not a curated record